RNAcentral lists this ribosomal RNA (496 nucleotides) under uncultured bacterium. RNAcentral's name for it is "bacterial SSU rRNA". It matches the Rfam family "Bacterial small subunit ribosomal RNA", at positions 24 to 507 of the family's 1533-position model. The record is from RNAcentral.
UCAGGAUGAACGCUAGCUACAGGCUUAACACAUGCAAGUCGAGGGGAAACGAUAUUGGAAGCUUGCUUCCGAUAGGCGUCGACCGGCGCACGGGUGAGUAACGCGUAUCCAACCUGCCCAUCACUUGGGGAUAACCUUGCGAAAGUAAGACUAAUACCCAAUGACGUCUCUAGAAGACAUCUGAAGGAGAUUAAAGAUUUAUCGGUGAUGGAUGGGGAUGCGUCUGAUUAGCUUGUUGGCGGGGUAACGGCCCACCAAGGCGACGAUCAGUAGGGGUUCUGAGAGGAAGGUCCCCCACAUUGGAACUGAGACACGGUCCAAACUCCUACGGGAGGCAGCAGUGAGGAAUAUUGGUCAAUGGGCGAGAGCCUGAACCAGCCAAGUAGCGUGCAGGAUGACGGCCCUAUGGGUUGUAAACUGCUUUUAUAAGGGAAUAAAGUGGGAGUCGUGACUCUUUUUGCAUGUACCUUAUGAAUAAGGACCGGCUAAUUCCGUG